Non-coding RNA from Vicia faba (fava bean), 300 nucleotides. Lineage: Eukaryota; Viridiplantae; Streptophyta; Magnoliopsida; Fabales; Fabaceae. The record is from the annotation of a GenBank genome assembly.
AUGAAUGUUACCGUUGAGACUCCUUUGUUUUCCAGAACUUUACAUAUCAGAAUAUCAGAGUUCUUGUUUCACAGCGUUUGUGCAUUCAGAAGUUGUAACAUAGAACUUCUUCAUUUAGCAUUUUACACGGAUUUGCUUCUAAGUAUGUUGUGUCUGAAUAGAUCUUCAAAACGAAACUCUCUUAUCUUCUUACAUCAGAACUUCCAGGGAUGUAGAAUAAAACUAUGUUCUAGCAGAUCUUUUCUCAUCUUCUAUGCUUCUUACAUCAGAACUUCUCUGCAUAUUAAAAUACUUUAUUAG